GCGGUUUGUGCACCAGGUGUCAGUUGACCGUUAAUAUGCUAAUGAGGUGAUUCAUUCUCCGCCAAUCCCUGGAGGACAAGUAGUGGGGUGAUCCAAGCCCCACCAAUCCCUGAGAGUUAAUUAGCAUACUGUUGUCUAUAUAAGCCGAGUGAUUUUGCUGCUCGGAGUCCCUGUUCAAGAGAGCUGUAACACUCAGAAGAGCUGUAACACUAAGAAGAGCUGUAACACAGUAAAGGCUUGCUCGCAGAAGAAUUCUGUUGCCGCGCGUCGUUCUUACUGGCGGGACAUUGGGCGCGUGACAAGUGGUGCCGAAACCUGGAAAACAACAUUGCCGGUACCCAGGGGACCCUUCAGUGUGCUGAAGAGGAUUCAGAACUGCGAGAAGGUAAAUUAAAAGAAUCAAGAAAAUCCAAUUUGGGUACCUGAGCGUUUGACUCGAAGAUUGUCUUCUGCUCUUCCUGAAGAUGAGACUAUGAACCCUACUAUUACUACUGGGAAUGGUAAUACAGGUUAAUUCGCUCACCCUGUGGGCUAUUGCCAGAUCCUGGCCAGUACCCAUGCCAGUUCAUAGCAAUUCUACUGUUUUGAGAAUAAGACUGGCAAGCAUAAUCUCUGGCCUUGGUUUCAAUGGGUGCUGUCCAAUGAGCAAGGGGCAUAUACAUCCCUGACCCCCUUUGCUAGGUUGAUGGGAGAGAACUUCGUGCUGUAUAAUGUUUCAGCUACCAGAAAAAGGUGAUACCAGGUUGAUCAAUAUUCAAUAUAAUAACCUCUUGGUAAAUAAUACUGCCACUAGUACUUCAGUAUGUGCUAGAUCACCUUUUUUCUGAUAAGCACUAAUGUAAGCAGUGGUGCUUUAUAUUGUAAUAGCUCUGAGGUAGUCUGCUAUUUAGCUGAAUGCUGGGAUGGCACCAAUGACACCGCAGUGAUGGUUAAGAUUCCCUCCUUUGUGCCAAUCCCAGUGGAGGCAAACCCAGAUAGCUUUCCUAUUCUUAAUUUGCUGAGAGCCAAAAGAGAUUUUGGAAUUACGGCAGCCAUAAUUUCAGCCAUUGUGCUGUCUGCUGCCGCAGCUACCACAGCUGAAAUCGCUAUGACCAAUCAAAUACAGAUGGCUAAGACUGUCAAUCAGAUUGUAUAAAGAACUGCAGUGGCGCUAGAGAUACAAGAAGAAUUUAAUACCCAUUUGGCAUCUGGCCUUCUAUUAGCCAAUCAAAGGAUAGAUUUAGUUCAAGAACAAAUUGAAGCACUGUAUCAUAUGACACAGCUCUCUUGUGUUUCCUCCCUUAGAGGUUUAUGCAUUAUUCCUUUGCGAGCUAACUUUUCUCAGAAUUUUCAACAGAGCAAAGAAAUCUCGAAUUAUCUGAAAGGAAACUGGUCCAUGAAAGCAGAGCAACUAUCAAGACAAUUGCUGAUGCAGAUUGCUGUCCUCAACAGCACUAGGCUGGACCCCAUCACAGUUGAAGACUUUACCUCAUGGAUUACCAAUGCUUUCUCCCUUGUCAAGGAGUGGGCGGGCAUGUUUGUCCCGGGGAGCUAUUGUCCUCCUGGGAUGCGGAGUAGGUCUCUGGCUAAUUGGCUGUUUAUAAAGAGAACAUGCCAGACACAAAGUGGUUGUUUACCAGGCUAUGACCACCAUUAAAAAGGGUACUUCUCCCAACAUAUGGCUGGCCUCUUUGAAAGAUCAAGAGAUCGCCCUAGAUCAUUUUUGUCACAGUCAUGUGGAGUCAUUGUAUCCAGGGACGGGCAACUUUCCUCGAACUCGGACCAACCUAAGACACGGGGCCCGGUGGCGAUAGGGUAACUCUAUGACGGGUAAGGCCGAGUUUGGAUGAGAACGACCUAAGACAGGAGCAAUGACAAGAUUGACGUGACACCCAGAUCUAGACCAGUCAUUUUAUUAAACAAAAAAGGGGGAGAUGUAGAGAGCGGCGCGGCAAAACAAAGAAGGCGCCGACAUCCAGCCUUGUCUGGAUAUAAACGACUUACUGCGCAUGUGCAGGCUUGUCCCCUUGCUAGGGCUCCCUCUAGUGGUGAACAGCGGUACUGCACAUGUGCGGUUUAUGCACCAGGUGUCAGUUGACCGUUAAUAUGCUAAUGAGGUGAUUCAUUCUCCGCCAAUCCCUGGAGGACAAGUAGUGGGGUGAUCCAAGCCCCACCAAUCCCUGAGAGUUAAUUAGCAUACUGUUGUCUAUAUAAGCCGAGUGAUUUUGCUGCUCGGAGUCCCUGUUCAAGAGAGCUGUAACACUCAGAAGAGCUGUAACACUAAGAAGAGCUGUAACACAGUAAAGGCUUGCUCGCAGAAGAAUUCUGUUGCCGCGCGUCGUUCUUACUGGCGGGACAUUGAGCACGCGACAGUUUACUUGCUCUGGCUCUUAUGAAGAAAGAAGAAGAAAAAUGGCAGCCACUCCAAGUGGCCUCUCUGACAAAGAGAAUCACCUGGCUUGGAAUAUAUCCAUUCGGGAAACAAGGCAGCUCCAAGAUUCAAGGAGACACAGUUUACCCAAGCGAGGAGAAAUCUUGAACUUGAAUCAUUUUUGCCUUCACAUCAGAUUGCCCUGUGCAGUCUUAAAAGUCCCAUUGUCCAUCCAGAAUCCCAUGAAAGUCAAAUCUGCAUCUCUUGAACAGAGACCCAGGUGACUGCUGUGAAAGGAUUGUUCAACCCCCAAUGGAUCAAAAUCAAUGAUUGAGAACUUCUACUCAAAGUGCUAAAACAUAGAUAAAAGAUUUUAUUUUCAUACGCAUGGAUCUCUUUCCUGUUACUAAAAACUUAUUUUAAAACAAAGAAAAUGUGACUAGAGCUGUUUAUCCCAUGAAUAAAUCAGAAAGGAAAAGUAAAACCUCA
Molecule: non-coding RNA, 2839 nt
Organism: Rattus norvegicus (Norway rat)
Lineage: Eukaryota; Metazoa; Chordata; Mammalia; Rodentia; Muridae
Source: RefSeq, a predicted model, not a curated record